GCUGACGGACUCACCGAAUGCACUGGAUCUCUUUCGACCUCCGAAGUUAAGCGGUGGAGAGAGAGCCCGCCUAGUACUGGUCUGGGGGACCGACUGGGAAGCGUUUAGGGUGCUGUCAGCU
RNAcentral lists this ribosomal RNA (121 nucleotides) under Symbiodinium microadriaticum. Lineage: Eukaryota; Dinophyceae; Suessiales; Symbiodiniaceae. The record is from RNAcentral.